AAAAGCUCAAAUUUGAAAGCUAGCGUCUUUUAGGCGUUCGCGUUGUAAUUUGAAGAUGGCAACUUUGGCAGCGGUCUUUACAUAUGUUCCUUGGAAUAGGACGUCAUAGAGGGUGAGAACCCCGUAUAUGGUAUGGAUCCCGCUGCUUUGUAAAGUGCUUUCUAAGAGUCGAGUUGUUUGGGAAUGCAGCUCUAAGUGGGUGGUAAAUUCCAUCUAAGGCUAAAUAUAGGCGAGAGACCGAUAGCGAACAAGUACAGUGAUGGAAAGAUGAAAAGAACUUUGAAAAGAGAGUGAAAAAGUACGUGAAAUUGUUGAAAGGGAAGGGCUUGAGAUCAGACUUGGCUUGUAGUGAUCAACUAUCUCUAGGGAUUGUGCACUCGCUACUUGCUAGGCCAGCAUCAGUUUUGGCAGUGGGAUAAUAGCAGCGGAAUGUGACUUUGCUUCGGGAAAGUGUUAUAGCCGCAUGCUGAUACCACUAGCUGAGACUGAGGUCUGCGUCUUUGUACUAGGAUGCUGGCAUAAUGAUCUUAAGCCACCCGUCUUGAAACACGGACCAAGGAGUCUAACGUCUAUGCGAGUGUUUGGGUGUAAAACCCUUGCGCGUAAUGAAAGUGAACGUAGAGGAGAACUUGUACUAGUGCAUCCUCGACCGAUCCUGACGUAUUCAGAUGGAUUUGAGUAAGAGCAUAGCUGUUGGGACCCGAAAGAUGGUGAACUAUGCCUGAAUAGGGUGAAGCCAGAGGAAACUCUGGUGGAGGCUCGUAGCGAUUCUGACGUGCAAAUCGAUCGUCAAAUUUGGGUAUAGGGCGA
This 810-nucleotide ribosomal RNA is filed under the name Blastobotrys bombycis. Its description in RNAcentral is "partial large subunit ribosomal RNA". It matches the Rfam family "Eukaryotic large subunit ribosomal RNA", at positions 103 to 926 of the family's 3401-position model. Lineage: Eukaryota; Fungi; Ascomycota; Dipodascomycetes; Dipodascales; Trichomonascaceae. The record is from RNAcentral.